RNA transcript from Trifolium pratense (red clover), 3493 nucleotides. It is a transcript of the gene named long chain base biosynthesis protein 1-like, with no coding region annotated. The record is from RefSeq and is a predicted model, not a curated record. NCBI's taxonomy places the organism in Eukaryota, Viridiplantae, Streptophyta, Magnoliopsida, Fabales, Fabaceae. The transcript is spliced from 8 exons.
CCAACCCAAACCCUAAUUCCCCCAUCAAAACCCUAAUGCCUUAUGUCAUGUGUGAUAUCAUCAUGUCCAACCAAUGCUUGACAACUUUGUAUCAUGUCCAAUUGUAUCUUGCCAACAUUGAGUUGCCUUCAUCCAAUUAGCACUUGACAUAUUUGAAUGAUGGGGUGACAAAUGGCAAACUAGAAAUACAUGCAUUGGGGCUCAAUUUCCUGGUUAAUGCAAACAAUGGGCUGUUUGAUGGUUUACCCAAACAAUGAGUUUGACACCAGAUAAAUCAAACCUACUUAGAGCCCCUUUUUCUUACAUUUCUCAACUUUUUUUCUCUCUCUCUUCUAUCUUUUCUCUCUCUCUGGUACGCUCUCUCUAUCUCUCUCGCCUCUUCAUGAAGAACAACAAGAACACCACCGUCUCGUCCCCAGAUUCCGGCGGCUGGCCAUCGCGAAUCCCAUACUCAGGCGAGUCACCACACCAUCUCGUCCUUCACCGCCACAUCCACCACAGCCUCCACCAUCUCGUCCGCCGCCUCUAACUCAGUGAAGCAUCCUCGCCGAUUUCAUUCCUUGGAUGUGAAAAGCCUCUCUGGUUUUGAUAUGUGAUUUCUUGAAUCCAUCAUGGGACAAGAGUGAGUAACAUGAAAUUUGAUUUGAGGGUAGUUUUGAUUCAGUUUCAAUUAUUGGGUAAUCUUAUAACUCUUACUGCUGCCGCUGCAACAGGCUCCAUGGAAGGAUAAGGCUCCUCCAGACCUCCACCUUCCCCCAAGCCAGCCAAAUAUCGUGGUGGCAAGCAGAGAAGAAGUGGCGCAAAGGAAAGCAAAAGGAGAAGGUGAACAAUCAGUGGAUCUUUUAUAUAUUCUUAUGCUUUCAAAUAUAAAUUGAGGUACCUAAUUUAAAUGUAUAGAACUGUUAUGCUUCCAGAAAUAACAUGUUAUACUAUUCUUAUGCUUUCAAUUUUAACAUGUUAUACUAUAUGCAGCACUAUGAUUGUUCUUUAAUGAUACAGUGUAUCUUUGUUGGAGGCUUUAAAAAUUGAAAAUUUGUAUUCUAUUGUUCAAUUUUCCAACUUAAAAAUGGUCUUGAAGAAUUUUCUAAAUGAUUACAUUCGGAUCUAAACCCUUAGAUGAUAUCAUUAAAUUGAAGGAAAAAUAUCGGUUUCGCAUUUUAUUAGACGAGAGCAACUCAUUUGGUGUGCUUGGAAGUUCUGGAAGAGGCCUCACUGAACACUAUGGAAUUCCAGUAUGUACUGCAAUUUUUGUUUGGGUGUGGGUGCAUACACUUGUACCAGAUCUACUGUUCGUACAUUCAAAUUUCUACCGCUAUUUGUGAUUUGUUGUAAUGUGCUGCAGGUUGAGAAAUUAGAUCUUAUAACUGCUGCUAUGGGACAUGCAUUGGCCACAGAAGGAGGAUUCUGCACCGGAAGUGCGAGAGUUAUAGAUCACCAAGUAUGGUAGUUCAUAAUCUAAGUGUAAUCUAUAUGGUUUUUAGGUCAUUUUAGAAGAGGUUAUUAAUAUGAUGAAUCUUUUGAAUUCAUGUAGAAACUGAGGAAGAGGUACUAUUAUAUGCUUUAACAUGUUUCUUGUGAUUUGUUCAAGAGGAUGCAAACUUAUUUUAGUGCUUUGCUUGCAGGUAGUACUUAAGUAAGGAUUCAUAUCUUCUCCAUUUUCGUCUAUCACUUCCUUUAUUACGAUCUCAGCUUUCAUCAACAGUUUUCUUUUCUUCUAUCCAAUGACUUGAUUAUGCAUCUAUUCUCAACUACAUGUAAAUGUUUCCAUAGGAUUUAGCUGUUGAAUCGAGAUUUAGGCUUAUUGUGUUACGUUUAGUAUCUGAGAAUUUGAUUGAAUGCAUGAUUUUAGUAGGCUCUGGCUUAUAGAGUGUGGAGAUUUUUUGUUAUUUAAUUAUAUAUUAUAUUUAGGAUUAGGAUUAGGAUGUGAUAAUUAUUAGUUCUAAAAUGACAUUGUAUUAGGCAUUUUUAAGUGGAAUGACAAUUUCAACUUGAUAUGCAUUAUUUUGUGUAUUUUAUAUUUGUUGUUAGUUUGUUACUUAAGAUGAGUACUUUUUUGCAAUUUUGUAAUUUUGAAAAUAUUGACAUGAUUUUGGAACUGCUUUCUUAUGCAAUUUCAAUUUUUAAUAGCAUGAGGGAAUUUUAAAACACCUGACAUGUUAGAAACUUAUUAGACAGUUGUUUAACUUUAAAGAUUGUUGGAAGUAGUAUUGCAUUUUGAUUUAAUUGGUGCCUAUGUUUUCAAUUUAUUGCCUUCUUAAGUGGAAAGUUAGUAAUUGAAAUUUUCAUUUAGCAUUCUUAUAUGUUGUCUGCUUUAACUGAAUCGUUUUCCCCAUCUCCAUGAAACAAUUUCGAUUUUUUAUUCAUGGAUGCUUUCAGUUCUUAUAGAGCAAUGAACUAAUGAUUACACACAAUCACACACACCUGUCAUUCUGUCUUAAAAAUGUUGCAACUCUCUCUUUCUCUAACUCUCUUUGUGUUAAUUGUGGCAGUGUCAUUCAUGGAGGUAGAUGUAUGUCUGCAUCUUGGCUCAAUGGAAGGCAUAUUUAUAAGUUGUGGGAAAAAUUUGUCUGGGAAUAUGGUUUGACAGUUGGGUAGAUGCAAAAGAUUUUCGUAUUUUCAGGGACUAAGACUUGAAGGCGAGAAAAUGUCUUUUUCUUUCAUUGUAUUAUUCGGCAAUUGCAAGUACCGGGCUGCAUAUCACCGCAUAUAACAAUAUAAGUCAUAUAUAGAGUUGAUUCAUGUCCUAAAUCUGGCAUCUCUUCCUAUAUCGACAAAGAUCUACCCAGGAAGAUGCGUCAGAUUUAUUCGUAGUGAUUCUCAGGUAUUUCCACAACCGUUUGAAGCCUUCAAAGCUCACAUGGACUGCCAUGUACAGGAAGCAGCACAAGAAGAUUUUGUGCUCUAAACUUCUAUCCAAAAACAAUUGCAUUUAUAUUCCUUGACCUCUCUAGACUUCCAUGGCGUGAGUUUUGUCAGAGUUCAUUUCAAGAGCAAGUGUAUCAUCUGAUGUUAGUGGACACUGCUACUAUGAAUGCCUACAAUGGUGGACGGGUUGAUUUUUGUAGAACACGCAUAUUGGUUGAAGGGAUGCCGGUUAAAUUUAUAGCCACCAAACCCCUUGACAACCAGGUUAUUUAUGUUAAGGUUGCUGUUGAUUUUUCCAUGCAAACUACUUCGGUGCAGCAAGUGAUAGAUGGAAAGUUUGUUCCUUCUGUGGUCGCGGCACAACUCUUUGCGGUCACACCAUGAUUUGAAUUGUUCGAGUUGUGUUGUCUUCUUUGAUUCACAUGUAUGAAUUCAUGGUUUAUUAUGUGAAUUUUGAUUGGAGUGUCAUGUUUUAUUUUCAUAGUAACGUUGAAAGCUUAAGCUAUGUACUUGGUUAAGCUUUUGCAAUAUGGCUUUUGCUCUUCUUUAUUAUGUGACUUUUGAUAGUAGUGUCAUAUUUUAUUUUGAUAGUAAUGUUGAAUGGAUAUGAUGUGUGAUGUUUCCAUAA